This 91-nucleotide small nuclear RNA is filed under the name Rhinolophus ferrumequinum (greater horseshoe bat). RNAcentral describes it as "U5 spliceosomal RNA (ENSRFEG00010016051.1)". It matches the Rfam family "U5 spliceosomal RNA", at positions 1 to 91 of the family's 117-position model. From Rfam's summary of the family: U5 RNA is a component of both types of known spliceosome. The precise function of this molecule is unknown, though it is known that the 5' loop is required for splice site selection and p220 binding, and that both the 3' stem-loop and the Sm site are important for Sm protein binding and cap methylation. Lineage: Eukaryota; Metazoa; Chordata; Mammalia; Chiroptera; Rhinolophidae. The record is from Rfam by way of RNAcentral.
AUACUCUGUUUUCUCUUCAGGCUGUAUAACUCUUUUUCCUGUUACUAAAGAUUUCUGUGGAGAAAAACAACUCUGAGUCUUAACCCAAUUA